This 253-nucleotide ribosomal RNA is filed under the name uncultured bacterium. RNAcentral's name for it is "partial 16S ribosomal RNA". It matches the Rfam family "Bacterial small subunit ribosomal RNA", at positions 524 to 776 of the family's 1533-position model. The record is from RNAcentral.
UACGGGGGGGGCAAGCGUUGUUCGGAAUUACUGGGCGUAAAGGGCUCGUAGGUGGCCAACUAAGUCGGACGUGAAAUCCCUCAGCUUAACUGGGGAACUGCGUCCGAUACUGGAUGGCUUGAGUUCGGGAGAGGGAUGCGGAAUUCCAGGUGUAGCGGUGAAAUGCGUAGAUAUCUGGAGGAACACCGGUGGCGAAGGCGGCAUCCUGGACCGAUACUGACGCUGAGGAGCGAAAGCCAGGGGAGCAAACGGG